GGAAGGGACAAUCUAGGUGGGGAUGGUGACGCGAGCGCGAGGAGGCGCUGUGGGGACUGGAGAACGGCGUCAGAGAGCCGAGAUUCCCUGGGGGCAUGCAGUGCUGGAGACAAACUAUCAUUCAUUCUGUCAUAGAUUGUUGGAAGAAUACCUCAUCCAAGGUCCAAGACAGAAAAGCUGUGAAAGACAGAAGCAAAAGAAGGGAGCGAAGUGAAGGCACGGAAAGACCUUUCUCAAACAUCACUGGACCUCCACUUGUGUUGUGACCACCCGUACCCAGGUGCUCUCAAAAGCAGCUGGCUGUAUUAGAAUCACCUUGACGGUGACUUAAAAAAAUAGUUAUCUCUUGGGGGUGCUUGGCUGGCUCAGUCAGUGGAGCGUGCAACUCUUGAUCUCAGGGUUGUGGGUUCGAGCCCGGUGUUGGGUGUGAUUGCGUACAAAUAAAAAAUCUUAAAAAAAAACCCAAAA
Molecule: long non-coding RNA, 468 nt
Organism: Callorhinus ursinus (northern fur seal)
Lineage: Eukaryota; Metazoa; Chordata; Mammalia; Carnivora; Otariidae
Source: RefSeq, a predicted model, not a curated record